Molecule: non-coding RNA, 32 nt
Filed under: Mus musculus (house mouse)
Lineage: Eukaryota; Metazoa; Chordata; Mammalia; Rodentia; Muridae
Source: RNAcentral
UUGCAAAGUGGCAAGGAAACCUUAUUCAGAGU